UACGAAGGGGGCUAGCGUUGCUCGGAAUCACUGGGCGUAAAGCGCACGUAGGCGGAUUGCUAAGUCAGGGGUGAAAUCCUGGAGCUCAACUCCAGAACUGCCUUUGAUACUGGCGAUCUUGAGUCCGGGAGAGGUGAGUGGAACUGCGAGUGUAGAGGUGAAAUUCGUAGAUAUUCGCAAGAACACCAGUGGCGAAGGCGGCUCACUGGCCCGAUACUGACGCUGAGGUGCGAAAGCGUGGGGAGCGAACAGG
This 253-nucleotide ribosomal RNA is filed under the name uncultured bacterium. RNAcentral describes it as "partial 16S ribosomal RNA". It matches the Rfam family "Bacterial small subunit ribosomal RNA", at positions 524 to 776 of the family's 1533-position model. The record is from RNAcentral.